AAGCAUCUAAGCACGAAACUUGCCCCGAGAUGAGUUCUCCCUGACUCCUUGAGAGUCCUGAAGGAACGUUGAAGACGACGACGUUGAUAGGCCGGAUGUGUAAGCGCAGCGAUGCGUUGAGCUAACCGGUACUAAUGAACCGUGAGGCUUAACCUUACAACGCCGAAGGUGUUU
RNAcentral lists this ribosomal RNA (174 nucleotides) under Escherichia coli. RNAcentral's name for it is "partial 23S ribosomal RNA". The stretch from base 1 to 156 matches the Rfam family "Bacterial large subunit ribosomal RNA", at positions 2775 to 2925 of the family's 2925-position model. The record is from RNAcentral. Lineage: Bacteria; Pseudomonadati; Pseudomonadota; Gammaproteobacteria; Enterobacterales; Enterobacteriaceae.